This 623-nucleotide ribosomal RNA is filed under the name uncultured Saccharopolyspora sp. RNAcentral describes it as "bacterial SSU rRNA". It matches the Rfam family "Bacterial small subunit ribosomal RNA", at positions 356 to 987 of the family's 1533-position model. Lineage: Bacteria; Bacillati; Actinomycetota; Actinomycetes; Pseudonocardiales; Pseudonocardiaceae. The record is from RNAcentral.
GGGGAAUAUUGCGCAAUGGGCGGAAGCCUGACGCAGCAACGCCACGUGGGGGAUGACGGCCUUCGGGUUGUAAACCUCUUUCGACAGGGACGAAGGGUGACUGACGGUACCUGUAGAAGAAGCACCGGCUAACUACGUGCCAGCAGCCGCGGUAAUACGUAGGUGCGAGCGUUGUCCGGAUUUAUUGGGCGUAAAGAGCUCGUAGGCGGUUUGUCGCGUCUAUCGUGAAAACCAGGAGCUUAACUUCUGGCUUGCGGUGGAUACGGGCAGACUUGAGUUCGGUAGGGGAGACUGGAAUUCCUGGUGUAGCGGUGAAAUGCGCGGAUAUCAGGAGGAACACCGGUGGCGAAGGCGGGUCUCUGGGCCGAUACUGACGCUGAGGAGCGAAAGCGUGGGGAGCGAACAGGAUUAGAUACCCUGGUAGUCCACGCCGUAAACGUUGGGCGCUAGGUUGUGGGGACCGGUUCCACGGUUUCUGUGCCGUAGCUAACGCAUUAAGCGCCCCGCCUGGGGAGUACGGCCGUCAAGGCUAAAACUCAAAGGAAUUGACGGGGGCCCGCACAAGCGGCGGAGCAUGUGGAUUAAUUCGAUGCAACGCGAAGAACCUUACCUGGGUUUGACAU